RNAcentral lists this transfer RNA (58 nucleotides) under Salmo salar (Atlantic salmon). It matches the Rfam family "tRNA", at positions 8 to 63 of the family's 71-position model. Rfam says of the family: Transfer RNA (tRNA) molecules are approximately 80 nucleotides in length. Their secondary structure includes four short double-helical elements and three loops (D, anti-codon, and T loops). Further hydrogen bonds mediate the characteristic L-shaped molecular structure. tRNAs have two regions of fundamental functional importance: the anti-codon, which is responsible for specific mRNA codon recognition, and the 3' end, to which the tRNAs corresponding amino acid is attached (by aminoacyl-tRNA synthetases). tRNAs cope with the degeneracy of the genetic code in two manners: having more than one tRNA (with a specific anti-codon) for a particular amino acid; and 'wobble' base-pairing, i.e. permitting non-standard base-pairing at the 3rd anti-codon position. Lineage: Eukaryota; Metazoa; Chordata; Actinopteri; Salmoniformes; Salmonidae. The record is from Rfam by way of RNAcentral. RNAcentral also lists the same sequence under 1 other name.
UGGCUCAGUUGGUAGAGCAUGGCGCUUGCAACGCCAGGUUUGUGGGUACGAUUCCCAU